GGGCCCGCACAAGCGGUGGAGCAUGUGGUUUAAUUCGACGCAACGCGAAGAACCUUACCAGCUCUUGACAUUGCUAAGUCGCGAGUUUUAGAGAUAAAACUCUUCAGUUCGGCUGGACUUAGUACAGGUGCUGCAUGGCUGUCGUCAGCUCGUGUCGUGAGAUGUUGGUUAAGUCCCGCAACGAGCGCAACCCUUGUCCUUAGUUGCCAGCAAUUCGGUUGGGCACUCUAGGGAGACUGCCGGUGAUAAACCGGAGGAAGGCGGGGAUGACGUCAAGUCCUCAUGGCCCUUACGGGCUGGGCUACACACGUGCUACAAUGGUCGGUACAAAGGGCAGCGAAGCCGCGAGGUGGAGCG
This 357-nucleotide ribosomal RNA is filed under the name uncultured bacterium. RNAcentral describes it as "bacterial SSU rRNA". It matches the Rfam family "Bacterial small subunit ribosomal RNA", at positions 917 to 1269 of the family's 1533-position model. The record is from RNAcentral.